Saccostrea cuccullata (small rock oyster) is the source of this 1409-nucleotide long non-coding RNA. RefSeq lists it as uncharacterized. The record is from RefSeq and is a predicted model, not a curated record. The transcript has 3 exons. Lineage: Eukaryota; Metazoa; Mollusca; Bivalvia; Ostreida; Ostreidae.
UGUGGGAAAUGGGAAGGUACUAAAGACCUGAUAUACUAAAAACCUUAUUUGACCUGAUUCAAAAUCGUCAGUAAAUAUUCCAAACAAACGAAUUUUUGUAUAGCAUUUUGCAUCAUAGUCAUAAAGUAUUUAAAUAAGUCAUUUGAAGUACUCAAUAUUGUCAUUUAAUCUAAAAUAAAAACAUCAGGUAAAUAUCAGGUCUCGUAUAUCCGGUUAUUAGUGUGUCCCAAAAGUCGGACACAUGUUUACAAACUGAAAGUUGGAAAUCGUGAAGUUGAGCAUUUCUUACCACACAAGCCACAGGCCGUAUGUAGACAUGCACGCACAUUUAAUCUGCAGCUACGAAGUACUUUCUCAAUCGUCUGGAGCAUUAUUUUCAGCAGAAUUAUCCGAUUUAUAAUUUUUUGUGUGAAUUGUUUACGAGGAAAUUCCGACUGUUAAAUUUACAAGCUGAGCACUCUUGACUCUGGUUCGUGGUUCCCAGUGAUAAAUGUAUCGAGUGAUGAAAGAGUCGACGGUGACAUUUUAAAGUUUGAUUGGCAUGGACUAUCGGAAUGAAGAUGACUGCAGGAAUGGUUUGUUUGAUUAUUGGCCUAUCAAACAUUUUCAAGUCAUUUGAUGAUGCCACCACUUGGGAUAGUAAGCUGCAAAUAUAGACUUGUACUCAGCACUUAUUGCCUUUGAGAAGUAAGGGAUCCUUUUGACACUGAAUCUCGUUGUAUGCGGUCUCAUUGGAGUAACCCGUCUGAAGCAUUUAGCAAUGGGAUUGGAACCUGUGAUGUUUGAUGCAGUGAAUAAUCAAAGUACUCAGAAGUACUGAAAGCUGGGCUCAUUUACAGGGUAAUGAACAAAGACCGUGAUGAGAGUUUAAAAACAAAUUCAGACAUUGAGAGGAUAUGUUAUCCACAAAAAUAUCUCUAUGGCAUAUAUAUAGUAUUAAAAAGUUUUAAAAUUAAAUAAAAUUAUUAUAGAAUUUAACAGCAUAAAAUAUUCAUCACAUGUAUCGUUUGAGGCGGUUUCAGGGAUUUAUAUACCAACAGAAAUAAAUAAACACUAAUGCAGCAAGAUUAUUUAAGGUCAAACGAUUAUGCACUGAUGUGUCCUCAGCUGAGAAUUUGCAUCAAAGCGUACAUCAAGUAAUUAAUGAUGUUUACCACAUUUGUGUUAGACUGACAAUACAACCUUUAUUUAUAGAAUAUGGCGCACACAUCGAUACCUGAUGAAAACCUUUUGCAUAUUUUAAACAAAUAAUUAAUCGAAGAAGACUGUAGAAAGUACAUUAUUAUAAUUAUUUUUUGACAAUUUCCGAUAAUUUUGAAAAUUUAAUUCUGUAAUCAGUGUUUGUAUUGCCUCAAAUUUGAUUGCACAAAUGUACUAUAUUUUAAUGUGUAAAUUUGAUUAAGCAUCAG